UGGUAGUGGGGGAUAACGUUCGGAAACGGACGCUAAUACCGCAUACGUCCUACGGGAGAAAGCAGGGGACCUUCGGGCCUUGCGCUAUCAGAUGAGCCUAGGUCGGAUUAGCUAGUUGGUGAGGUAAUGGCUCACCAAGGCGACGAUCCGUAACUGGUCUGAGAGGAUGAUCAGUCACACUGGAACUGAGACACGGUCCAGACUCCUACGGGAGGCAGCAGUGGGGAAUAUGGGACAAUGGGCGAAAGCCUGAUC
This 255-nucleotide ribosomal RNA is filed under the name uncultured bacterium. RNAcentral describes it as "partial 16S ribosomal RNA". It matches the Rfam family "Bacterial small subunit ribosomal RNA", at positions 131 to 388 of the family's 1533-position model. The record is from RNAcentral.